GACUUCACCUGUCUGAGACCCUUUCGUCACUUUUAAGACCUUCCUGGAUUUUUCUUUCCCACACCCAGGUGUGCAAUGGACCUUGAACACUGUCAGCUCCCUCAUGUAAAGACCAGAGAAGGUGAAUUGUGUAAGACCUGAUGUGAACUCAGGGGUAAGAUCUUCCUGUGCCCCCAAUCACUGACCCUCUUCAGGGUCCACGUGACUUCCAGGACGUCGUCAAUGCCCGCCCUGUGCUCUUGGUCUCCAGAAGAUAUUUAUAUUUAGACAUCAGAAGACGUUUAUAUUUAGUCACCAACAUCACUCAAGUGCCCACAAACUUUGGUUAAGAAGGAAAAACAAGUUAAUUUGCUGGAACGGACGACUGACCUGCAGAUCUGGUGUGGGCUUGUCUCGUUUCGUGGGCUAUAUUUUUGUUGUUGUUUCUCUUCACUGGUGUACACCCUCUGCUUGAGCAAUCUCACGUGUUCUCAUGGCUUCCGUAUCGCCAUCUGUCCUCUCAUAUCCCCUCCCUGGACUGUCCUUCUAAACUCCAGGCUUGUGGUUACAGCUUCCCGUUUGACAUCUGUCCCCAAAUCUGUCACCGUCGUCUCAAAGGCGCUGUGUCUCAGCUUGAAUAUUUGAACUCUGCUGCUCGGUUCUCUCAACGCCCAGAAUGUGACCCUGUAAUUAGUGGCAAUUUCAUUUUCAUUUUGUGUUUAUACAACGUCUAACAGAUUCCCAAGCUGGCCUCUAACAGAAUGACCUUGAACUCCAGAUUCUCCCAGUGCAGCCGCCUUCCUACCACUAAGAUUACAGUUCGUCAUCAAGCCACCUCAGCAAGAAUGGAAGACCUUUUGCUGCUUCUCAUGACUGUGCCUUCACCCUAAGCCAACCCUGUUUCUUCCUAAGGCUAUGAGAA
Apodemus sylvaticus (European woodmouse) is the source of this 901-nucleotide long non-coding RNA. RefSeq lists it as uncharacterized. Lineage: Eukaryota; Metazoa; Chordata; Mammalia; Rodentia; Muridae. The transcript is spliced from 3 exons. The record is from RefSeq and is a predicted model, not a curated record.